UGGGGAAUAUUGGACAAUGGGCGAAAGCCUGAUCCAGCCAUGCCGCGUGAGUGAUGAAGGCCUUAGGGUUGUAAAGCUCUUUCGACGGGGACGAUAAUGACGGUACCCGUAGAAGAAGCCCCGGCUAACUUCGUGCCAGCAGCCGCGGUAAUACGAAGGGGGCUAGCGUUGCUCGGAAUCACUGGGCGUAAAGGGCGCGUAGGCGGCCGAUCAAGUCAGAGGUGAAAGCCCAAGGCUCAACCUUGGAAUUGCCUUUGAUACUGUUCGGCUAGAGACCGGAAGAGGUUAGUGGAACUGCGAGUGUAGAGGUGAAAUUCGUAGAUAUUCGCAAGAACACCAGUGGCGAAGGCGGCUAACUGGUCCGGUUCUGACGCUGAGGCGCGAAAGCGUGGGGAGCAAACAGG
Molecule: ribosomal RNA, 404 nt
Filed under: uncultured bacterium
Lineage: Bacteria
Also listed under: 1 other name
Description: bacterial SSU rRNA
Rfam family: Bacterial small subunit ribosomal RNA
Source: RNAcentral